This is a long non-coding RNA of Equus asinus (donkey), 4647 nucleotides long. NCBI's taxonomy places the organism in Eukaryota, Metazoa, Chordata, Mammalia, Perissodactyla, Equidae. The record is from Ensembl.
UCAUCUUGGGUGAUUUCCUCUAGUCUUUUGUUCAGUUUGCUGAUCUCUUCUUCUGUAUCAUCUCCUCUGCUGUUGAGUCCCUCUAGUGAGUUUUUCAUUUCUCUUAUUGUAUUCUUCAUUUCUGAUUGAUUCUUUUUUUGUAUUUUCCAUUCUUUGUUGAAGUUCUCACUGUGUUCAUCCAUCCUUCUUCUGAGAACAGUGAGCAUCCUUAUGAGUCUUUGUUUGAACUCUUUGUCAGGUAGAUUGUUUAUUUCUGUUUGUUUAGUUCGUUUUCUGGGGUUUUGUCUUUUUCCCUUACUCGUAAUGUAUUCCUUUGUCUUCUCAUUUUGCCUCUUUCUCUGUGCUUCUAUCUGUGUAUUAAGUAGGUCAGCUACAUUUCCCAAUCUUGGAGAGGUGGCCUUAUGUAGAAGGUGUCUUAUGAGGCUUAGCAGUGUGCUUCCCACUCAUCAUCAGUUCCAAAUGUUCCAGGAGUGUCUUCAUGGGCUAUGUGUGUCCUUCUGUUGUGGCAGAAUUGCUGCAGGUGCCCAGGGAGCCUAGGCUGUCCCCCUGCCUGGCUUUUUGUAAUGAUCACUGCAUGUGGCUGCUAUGGACACUUUAGUCACUUUAUAGGACAUGGGGAACCCCAGAACAGUUGGCUGCAAGGUCUAAUAACACAUUCCUGUUGCAGUUUUUCUGUUAAGUGAGUAGGCCCCCAGUGCUAGGCUCAGGGGCUUGCAAUUGCUGUAGGCCUAUGGCCUACAAGGCUGUUGUCAGCUCUCUCAGGGUUUUAGCUGAGUGCAGCUGGCCCCAGGCGUGGGAGCACCCAAUUGUUUCAGGCUUUGGAAGGUGGGCUGAUUCCCUAUGUGCCUGUCUGAGAAGCACAAGUCUGCUGUAGCUGACAAGACCCACCACCCACAGGACCACACACCCCUUCAACACAGUCCUGCCCCUUGCACCCACCCCGACUCACUGAAGUGGACCUAGUUGCCCCACUGCAAAGGCUGCACACACUCCACCACCACAGGACUGCCCCCUACGUGUGCCCUGCCCAGCAGAGGCAGACCUACUCACCUGGUUGCAGAGGUUUCAGGCACUCCACCUAUGCAGGCCCGCAAGUUGCCCAAGGGCUUGCUGUUGGGUGGGGCCAGUCCCUAGGGCAGGCUGCCUUGACUGAGAUGGAUUAAAUCAGUACUCUAGUAGGUGGGGCAGACCUUCAGGGUAACAGGUCAGAGGAAGAACUACAAUGGCAUCUGCCAUCAUCUGUGUCAGCUGGCCUGUAGUAGGUCACCAUAAUGGCUGAUGCCAAUGUCUCAGUGCCUGAAGACGUCUCACCUCUCACCAAGAUGCACCCAGAGCCUAUCAGCUGAGGAAGAGAGAGCAAAUCAGACCUUGGACGUUCAGAGGAAAAAUUAAGUUAUUCUCUACUUAAGGCACUUAAUAGGCAUGCAUCAUAAUGAGGUGGUAAAGGCUGGACCCAGGUUUCCAACCCAGGCACCUGUGUGUAAAAAGCUGGCUCUUUACUGACGGAAUCCACUAAUUUACUGUUGGUGAGGUUCUGGUUGGAGAGCUGAGUGAAGGCAUUCAUCUUCAUAAGACCCUCCCCUGAGGACACCAAGGGACAGUUAAGAUUUUGCUUGGCAAUCUUGGAAUUAGACCAAAGAUUCCUGGCUGUCUUUGAGGGUUGCAUCAACCCUACAGGACCAAUGAUCUAGACACAGCCCGGGCAGCGGUGGAGACACCCUGAGAGUCUCAUUGCUUGGCUUCAGCUUCCUGACUCCUGCAGACCCCGCCCUCUGUUACCUCAGAGUCAUUGCAGUCCAGCUGAGUAGGUUACCAUAAAUCACGUUCCAAUGUGUUUUCCUGCGGAGACAUCCGGGGGUGCUCUGACGGGACUUGAGGGAGAUGCUGGUGACCUUAAUUGAAUUUGUAAGGCAUCCUGUUCGCCUUCAUGGAAAAUGGGGAGAAGCCCUACUCCCAUCAACAGCACAUUUACGACCAUCCCCUGAGUGGUUUAUUUCUGCAGAUGGAGAAGCUCAGUCAUUUUAUUUUCUGAUUAUUUUCAAUUUACUGACCAAGUUCUGGGACCGGACCCAGUUUGAGAUAGAAGCAGUCACCAAGUCCAGCAUUGAAAACCAUCCCUCUCAGUGACUGCCUUCCUUUUGGGCCCUGCCGUCUCCAUGGCGUGGGUCAUCAUCCGGGAGGCAGCCGGAGGGAGGAUCCAUGGAGAUGGAGAAAGAGGACUCCCCAAGGGAAGAAUGAAGGAGGGAAGUGGCCAAGGCCCCUGCCAGGACCUUUGCGUGUGUUAUUUCACUCCAGCCUCACCACCUGUGUCACCCCCGUAUUACAGAGGAAGAAAUGGUCUCAGAGAAGGUAAGGAACAUGGUUUUCAGAACUUGUAAACAGUGGAGCUGAUUUCAAACCCAGGCGUGUCUGACUUGAAAGCUGUUGCCCUUUCUGCUACCCCAGGCUGACCUGUCGGGCUUGGCCUCGCUUUGGAGACACUUCCUCUUUAAACCCUGAUCAUUUCUUCCCGAGAGGGCUUGGCACAAGGAGUUGGAUCCUGGACCAACUCCACGGCUGUGUUCCUGGGGUUUGUUGCAGACUGAGUUUCCACGUUCUUGCCAUUACCCAGCUCUGGGCUGUGGUAUCAGAUGAGCCGCGGCUUUUGGCUCCCUGAGCCUGGCCGAAUGGCGCUGGCUGUGGUGCAGUCUACUUUCUGUCCUUGCAGGUAUGAGUGUGGUGGGAGCUCAGCACCAAACCCUAUCACCUUCCUUCUGUCAGGCAGCUGUCAUCACCCCCACAGGCCUUUUCUUCACAGCUUGUUGUCAGGAGGCUGGCCAACAUCUUGGGAAGGUGAGAGAGGAAAUUGGGAGGCUGGGGCUGGAGGGAAUCCUGCCACCAGCGUUCUCUCUUCCCCUAGGUCUGAUGGAAAUAACACUGCUCCGGCACCCGGAGACCUGGCUGUGGCCCAGCCUCAGCUGCACGUCAGCGGCAUGGCCCUGGAGACGACCCUGUGGGAGGCGACUGUCUGCUAUGGCGGAACCCCGGGACACCCCUUCCUCGGGGAGCCUUUCCUUUCUCCUCUGGUGGCGAGGCUGAUGCCUCCUCCCUGACUUGGUGAGGACCGAGUGAAGUGGGAUAUGUGCUGUGCCUUGGAAACCGUCAAAUACCACCUAAAGUCUAGUGUCUUCAGUGAACUUCAGCCCCAUCCUGUGGCCUCCAGUUGUGUGAUACUAUCAGAUGGCCCCUUGCUGCUGGAGUGGAUGUUCUUGGCAAUGAAAAGAAGAAGUGGGGGCAAAGAGUUGCUCAAAGUGUUGGGAAAAUUGGAUGCCAGAAUUUGUAGAUCCCUGGCCAACCAAGAGACAUGGGCAGAAGGUGACCUGGUCUUCAGAGCUCUCACAAGAUCUCUGAGAGAGACUGGUAUGACAGUCCUUGGGGACCUUCCCCCUUUAUAAAUGCUGUGUUCAUUUUUUAAUAAGAUAUUUGACAUAUAUAAAAAUAAAAUAUAAUGUAUGUAAGGUGAAAAAAAUACUCCUGGACCACUCGCCCAACUUGAGAAAUAGAACGUUGCUGGAAUGAUGAAGCAGCCGCGGGCGCUCGCUGCUGGUUGUCCCCUCACCAAGAGGAACAUGUGUGUCUGUUGUUCUCUUGCCUGUCAUUGCAGUUUGAAAACGUGUUUAGUAAAAUGAAUAUAUUUGAUAAUUUUGUGUGCAUUUGAACUUUAUGUGAAUAGUAUCACACAGGGUAAUUUUUUGUGCCUUCUGUUUUUCAGGUUCAUCUGAAUUGAUGCCUUUAGCCAUAGUUAAUUCAUUUUUGCUGCUGAAUAGUAUUCCGUUAUAUGACUAUGCCACACUUUUUUUACCAUCCCCUGCCUGUGUGCAUUUGGCUAUUUCCCAUUAUGCUAUUGAUAGUAAUGCUGCUGUAAAUAUUCUUGGCCAUGUUUCCUGGGCACGUGGACGAGAUUUUCUCCUGGGUCACAGUAUUUCCUUUUACCAUUUUCUCUAUAUUCUCAUCUUCUCUGCUAGGAUUCUCUCCUUCUUCAGUGAUGUCAUUUCUGGUUAUUGUCCUCAGAGACUCUGCUGCACACACCGAUGGUAUAAACGUAAACAAGCCACAGUGCCUUUCUUUGGUCCGCUCCAGGGUGGCGGAAUAACUGAUCACAGCAGUCACGUUGUGACCCACUUGAAACCCCAGCGCUGGAUUCUUGGAGACGACUAUCUCGCCUCUGCCUUUCCCUGAAGAACUUUGCUGCUUUUACCAACAUCUCUCAUCAUUUGACUUCUGCCCCAGCCUCUGUGGAAGAUGCCCUCUCAGAGCUCACCAGUGACCUCCCAAGGAUCAAGGCUGAAGGCUGUGUCAUUGUCCUUCCUCACCUGGCUGCACCCCUGCCGUCUGAAACUCCUUCUUUGGUUUGCACAGCAUGCCACUGCCCCGAUCGUCCUCCCGACCCGUUCCUCGUCUGCCUUAUACUUCUUGUCUGUGUACGUUCCUUAGGUUCUACCUCGGAGAAAUCAUCCAUUCCUUCCAUUUUAGCCAAGACACAACCAUCUAACCCAGGAAAUUAACAUUAGUACCAUUUAACUCUCAGACCCUGUUUGAAUUUUACUUAUUGUCUGAGUAACGUCUUUUACAGCAACAGGACCUAACCUAGGAUCAGUCAUGUCUCAG